UUUCCGUAGGUGAACCUGCGGAAGGAUCAUUAGUGAAUUUUAGGGUGCUCUCUUGCUUUUUAACAAGCUCGAGAGGCCUGACCUCCACUCUCCAACUCUGUGCACCUUUCGGCAUUGGUGUUUUGAUCUGUGAGCGCAAGCUCUCAUGAGACGAACCUAAUGCGGCUCUUUUUAAAACAUGAGUUUAAGAAUGUAAACAAAUCAUAACAAAAAAAACUUUCAACAACGGAUCUCUUGGCUCUCGCAUCGAUGAAGAACGCAGC
Molecule: unclassified non-coding RNA, 263 nt
Filed under: uncultured fungus
Lineage: Eukaryota; Fungi
Description: sequence contains ITS1, 5.8S rRNA gene
Rfam family: 5.8S ribosomal RNA (bases 215-263)
Source: RNAcentral